AGCUUUUUGCAGUGGCAGUAUCAUAACGAGUGAGGUUCAUCCGAGGCACAAUUAUUGCUAAUUGAAAACUUUUCCUAAUACUCGCCAUGAUGACUUGAAAUAUAGUCAGUGUUGGCAAUUUUUGGCAGUUUCUAAGGGGA
Saimiri boliviensis boliviensis (Bolivian squirrel monkey) is the source of this 140-nucleotide small nuclear RNA. RefSeq annotates it as U4 spliceosomal RNA. The record is from RefSeq and is a predicted model, not a curated record. Lineage: Eukaryota; Metazoa; Chordata; Mammalia; Primates; Cebidae.